AAGGGCCUCGCGCCAGCCUGGGGGGCGGAGGGAAAGCGCCUCGCGCCAGCCUGGGGGGGCGGAGGGAGGGGCCCCGCGCCAGCCCCUGAGCCCUCGUCGGCGUCCUGCUCUUCUCCCGCCGCUACCUGAGCGGGCUGCGCCGAGGGCCUCUUCCCCGCUCGCCGCCAUCCGCCCGCCUGCCCGCCUGCCCACGGGGGCUCAGCGACUCCCCGGCAGCGCAGAGGCGCCGAAGGGAACGGGGGGCGGAUAACUGCACUUCACUCGCCUUUUCAACCAGCUGCUCCAGCCAGAAUCCACAUUCUCCAGCUCCAAAUCCCAGGCCCGUAGCGCCUGAGUGCACUAGCGGAUGCAGCCAUCACCACCACAAGGAUACCACAGUGCCUAGAGGUGGUCAGCAACUGGAAUAAAAACAUUUGAUUCAAACUCAACCUGGGCAAAAAUAAAGUGGUGUUUGAAAGAGGGAAAACUCUUUGAAGAACCAGCUGAGUCAUUGUCCUCCCAUUCCACCGAAAGCCUCUCGCCCAGUAGUGUUGUAGCUGGGUCCUAAUUCACUGCAUCAUCUACAAUGUACCAAGAAAGCUAUGCUUCUCAGGGGCAAUACAAUUCAGAAUGAAGCUCUGAGAGACCUGGAAACAAAGCAUCAUUGGUCCAAGGGGUUGGAUUGUCAAACAAGUUUGCAGAGGAAAUCAGGCUAAUCCAGAAUCUCAGUUUCAGGGCACAUUCCAAAACCCUCUUUGACAAAGCUUCUCCAAUAAAACCAGAUUAAUGGGGUGCAAUGGGGUAGGGAGAAAAAAGGAUGGAGGAGAGGGAGAGUAACAAAGAAAUAGAAAGUAUAUAUACCAAGCAGAGGAGCCUCCAUCCUUUAUAUGGAAAUGGAGAAGAACAGAAUUGUAUGACAUCAAUGUGGGGACCUUGCCCUGCAAACCAAAUCUUAACUGGGAAGCAGUUAGCAGUUUUCUGCAGCAGUAUCCAUCAUCAUAAUAACUAAUAGGUAGGUGAACAGAAAGACAGGGAAAUUACACAGAAACUGACAGAAGAAUCUAGAUCUUAAAAAUGUGUUUAUUAAGUGACAUGGGCAUGUUAAAUGUCCCCGUGGAUUUUGGUUAACAGGAAUGUACUUAAAAUGUCAGGGCUAGAUGAAGUUUGAUGGGGGCCCCCCUUUUUGCAUAUUCAGUUCCUCCCCUUUAUUGUUUUGCCACCAUCCGUGCCUGGUACCAAACACUCCACUGCUAAAUUACCUUUAUUUCAGUUCUGGUUUUUAAAAAAGUGAUAUACCAAUUGUAAAGCUGAAUUAAAGUUCAACAGACAUUUUAA
Molecule: long non-coding RNA, 1314 nt
Organism: Trachemys scripta elegans
Lineage: Eukaryota; Metazoa; Chordata; Testudines; Emydidae
Exons: 2
Source: RefSeq, a predicted model, not a curated record